RNAcentral lists this ribosomal RNA (818 nucleotides) under Kluyveromyces lactis. RNAcentral's name for it is "LSU rRNA". The stretch from base 109 to 818 matches the Rfam family "Eukaryotic large subunit ribosomal RNA", at positions 1 to 755 of the family's 3401-position model. The record is from RNAcentral. Lineage: Eukaryota; Fungi; Ascomycota; Saccharomycetes; Saccharomycetales; Saccharomycetaceae.
UUUGCGCCAAUUCGUGGUAAGCUAGGGUCAAUGAGCUUAUAGGUGUUAUAAAGACUCGCUGGUGUUUGUCUCCUUGAGGCAUACGGCUUAACCAAAACUCUCAAAGUUUGACCUCAAAUCAGGUAGGAAUACCCGCUGAACUUAAGCAUAUCAAUAAGCGGAGGAAAAGAAACCAACCGGGAUUGCCUUAGUAACGGCGAGUGAAGCGGCAAAAGCUCAAAUUUGAAAUCUGGCGUCUUCGACGUCCGAGUUGUAAUUUGAAGAAGGCAACUUUGUAGCUGGUCCUUGUCUAUGUUCCUUGGAACAGGACGUCAUAGAGGGUGAGAAUCCCGUGUGGCGAGGAUCCCAGUUAUUUGUAAAGUGCUUUCGACGAGUCGAGUUGUUUGGGAAUGCAGCUCUAAGUGGGUGGUAAAUUCCAUCUAAAGCUAAAUAUUGGCGAGAGACCGAUAGCGAACAAGUACAGUGAUGGAAAGAUGAAAAGAACUUUGAAAAGAGAGUGAAAAAGUACGUGAAAUUGUUGAAAGGGAAGGGCAUUUGAUCAGACAUGGCGUUUGCUUCGGCUUUCGCUGGGCCAGCAUCAGUUUUAGCGGUUGGAUAAAUCCUCGGGAAUGUGGCUCUGCUUCGGUAGAGUGUUAUAGCCCGUGGGAAUACAGCCAGCUGGGACUGAGGAUUGCGACUUUUGUCAAGGAUGCUGGCGUAAUGGUUAAAUGCCGCCCGUCUUGAAACACGGACCAAGGAGUCUAACGUCUAUGCGAGUGUUUGGGUGUAAAACCCGUACGCGUAAUGAAAGUGAACGUAGGUGAGGGCCCGCAAGGGUG